UGAAAAUCAAGUCUUUAAUUUUCGUAUAUUUUUCUUGUGCGAUGUUUAUUAUAUUUAUUGUGGCAAUUGAGUCAUUCAAAGAUAAGAAACAAUUUGACGUAGCAAAAGAAUUCCAAAAUGAAAUUUUGUAUCAUUAUAAGAAACCCUGGACCUUUAUGCGUAGUUAUCCAAAAACAUCUAAGUAUGGUAAUGGAGUGAAGAAAGGUGAAGUUCCCUAUGGUGGAGUAGGCUCAAUAGAAAAGGAUGGUGAAGGAGGUGCACAAGUCGAAGAUGAACAGAGUAAAGUUGUAAAAGACUGAGGAAUUGAAUUAAAUCAAAAACGUGAUGGUGUAAUCGACGGGCUAGGGAUCAUAUCCAUGAAAAGUUUUGACUUUGUUUUACACCAUGUUUGAUU
This is a long non-coding RNA of Vicia villosa (hairy vetch), 394 nucleotides long. RefSeq lists it as uncharacterized. The record is from RefSeq and is a predicted model, not a curated record. Lineage: Eukaryota; Viridiplantae; Streptophyta; Magnoliopsida; Fabales; Fabaceae. The transcript has 2 exons.